GCAAUAAAAGCCAAAAUAGAGGCGCCGGUCUUGUAAACCGGAGAUUGAGAGUUUUCUCUUAUUGUU
RNAcentral lists this transfer RNA (66 nucleotides) under Patella vulgata (common limpet). Its description in RNAcentral is "tRNA-Thr". It matches the Rfam family "tRNA". From Rfam's summary of the family: Transfer RNA (tRNA) molecules are approximately 80 nucleotides in length. Their secondary structure includes four short double-helical elements and three loops (D, anti-codon, and T loops). Lineage: Eukaryota; Metazoa; Mollusca; Gastropoda; Patellidae. The record is from RNAcentral.